GCUAACACUAGCCCUAAGCACAAAAAACACUAAUAUAAGGCCAAUACACACCAAACCAUUUACCCACAUAUAGUAUAGGCGAUAGAAAUUUUAACCUGGCGCUAUAGACACAGUACCGUAAGGGAAAGAAUAGAACUAUCUAAGCACAAAACAGCAAGAACUAACCCCUGUACCUUUUGCAUAAUGAAUUAACUAGAAAUAAUUUCGCAAAGAGAACUAAAGCCAAAUCCCCCGAAACCAGACGAGCUACCCGAAAACAGCUAGAAGAGCGCACCCAUCUAUGUGGCAAAAUAGUGGGAAGAUUUACGGGUAGAGGUGACAAGCCUACCGAGCCUGGUGAUAGCUGGUUAUCCAAGAUAGAAUCUUAGUUCAACCUUGAGCUUACCUACAGAGCUACCUAAUCUCCUUGUAAACUCAAUUGUUAGUCUAAAGAGGGACAGCUCUUUAGACACUAGGAAAAAACCUUACAUAGAGAGUAAAAACCACAACUACCAUAGUUGGCCCAAAAGCAGCCAUCAAUUAAGAAAGCGUUCAAGCUCAACAUCAACCACUCGAAAAAAUCCCAAACAUAUAACUGAACUCCUCACACCACAUUGGAUUAAUCUAUCACUACAUAGAAGCAACAAUGUUAGUAUAAGUAACAUGAAUAUCUUCUCCACUGCAUAAGCCUAAAUCAGACCGAAAACUUCACCGAUACUUAACAGCCCAGUAUUAACAAACACAAACAAGCCAAUACUAUUCUCACUGUUAACCCAACACAGGCAUGCCCCAAGGAAGGUUAAAAAAAGUAAAAGGAACUCGGCAAACUUAAACCCCGCCUGUUUACCAAAAACAUCACCUCUAGCAUUACUAGUAUUAGAGGCACUGCCUGCCCAGUGACACACGUUUAACGGCCGCGGUACCCUGACCGUGCAAAGGUAGCAUAAUCACUUGUUCUUUAAAUAGGGACUCGUAUGAAUGGCAUCACGAGGGUUUAACUGUCUCUUACUUUCAACCAGUGAAAUUGACCUGUCCGUGAAGAGACGGACAUGAAACAAUAAGACGAGAAGACCCUGUGGAGCUUCAAUUUAUUAGUACAACUAAAAACAACACAAACCAACAGGCCCUAAACCCCUACAUCUGUGCUAAAAAUUUUGGUUGGGGCGACCUCGGAGCACAACCAAACCUCCGAAUAAUCCACGCUAAGACUAUACAAGUCAAAGCAAACUAACACUUACAAUUGACCCAAUAAUUUGAUCAACGGAACAAGUUACCCCAGGGAUAACAGCGCAAUUCUAUUCUAGAGUCCAUAUCAACAAUAGAGUUUACGACCUCGAUGUUGGAUCAGGAUAUCCUAAUGGUGCAGCAGCUAUCAAGGGUUCGUUUGUUCAACGAUUAAAAUCCUACGUGAUCUGAGUUCAGACCGGAGCAAUCCAGGUCGGUUUCUAUCUAUUCUACAUUUCUCCCUGUACGAAAGGACAAGAGAAAUAAGGCCCACUUCACAACAGCGCCCUCACUACAUAAAUGAUUUAAUCUUAAUUUAACAGAACACCACAUACCCCACCCAAGAGCAGGGUUU
This 1558-nucleotide ribosomal RNA is filed under the name Cercopithecus erythrotis camerunensis. Its description in RNAcentral is "16S ribosomal RNA". It matches the Rfam family "Bacterial large subunit ribosomal RNA". Lineage: Eukaryota; Metazoa; Chordata; Mammalia; Primates; Cercopithecidae. The record is from RNAcentral.